GGAAGUUAAAACAGAAACCCUAGCUUAUCCACCACCGCCGCAAGGACUGCCGCCGUCCGUUGCUCUCAGGCACUACCAUUGUCGUCUGGUCGUCCGUGCUUCUUCCUCCUUCAAGAAUCGCAGCUUCUUCUUCCUCAACCUCGGCGCGUCAGUUCCUGGUAUUCAUCUGCUCCAUUGCGAUCUUGCCGCCAUCCGUCGGGCGCUCAGUCACCAUCGUCUUCGUCUGGUCGUCGCAGAUUCUUCCAACCCACCACCGUCUUCUGAGUUGUGUUCGUCGCCUGGCCUCUGUCUCCGUCACGAUUCUGCCCCCCUCUUCUCAGACUGCUCAGAUGAAAAACCCAUCUCCAUUCCAAUUUCCUUCCUUCGAGCUCAGAGAGCAGAAGCUCAACCAAGAAAAAAACCUUAAACUUCGACGGUCAGUUCACUGCUAACUUCUUCUACGUUUUUUAUUUAGCCAUUUGCAAUGAUUAUUUUAUUACUGAAUAUUUGAAUGUUUUGUGUUUUAAUUUUUUAUUGAAUGAUUAUUUGAUUACUAAUGAGCUCUAGUUCUGCUGUGUUGCUAUUUUUGUAUGUUGUGAUAUUUUUUUGAAUGAGCUUCUACUGUGGUGCUGUUUUGUGUGUUGCUGUGUUGCUUUUUUAUGUGUUCUUUAUUUUUUAUUGACAUGCAUCUGAGUGAUAUCACCACUGUAACUUAACUACUAAGUAUUGUAGUACUUGAUUUUAGUUAUAUUUUUAAAUUUCUUGAUUCUUGGUUGGUAUAUUUUCUGCAGAUCUCUAAUAUUCUCUUGGUUGCUAUUCUUGAUUCUUGAUUAUUGUUAUGAUUUUUUAAUGCUUCUAUUUUUUCCUGUUCUAUACUUGACUUGAUUCUGUUCUUUGAUUUUGAUUCUGGAUUCUUGAUUUUUCACUGCAUCUAUUAUGAUUCACCCUAGCACGCUAUUUGAUGUUAUUUCAUAUACGAGUGUUUUAUUUAUAUCAUAAUUAGUAAUACAACUCUAAAUCUUUGAAGUUUGGCUAAUUAUAAUUCAUAGAGCAUGUUACAAAUCAUUUUUAUAAAACUCAGAAGAAAAUUGAAAAGCUGCAUGCCUAUUGAAAGUUGAAACCAAAUUAAUAGUACUGUUUUAACUCUUUCCUAGUAGUCAAUAGCAGAAAUAGGCAUUUGGUUUAAAUAUGCAUGUAAUGUUACAAAGAAUUUGAUCAUUGUUACUUAUCUAGCUUAAAUUUUUAUUUUUUUACCUUUUUGACUAAACAGAUUUUUGUCUCUCUUAAUGACUUUUAGUUUAUCACUGUAAAAUUGAUGAGCAAACCAGAGAGUUUUAAGGAACUAAGACAGCAAUGAAAGAAGGAAAUACUUGCUAUUUAAUUCUUUGUUGAUUGUUAUUAUCAAUCUUAUAUUUGGUUUAAUAUUUCUUCAAUGUCAUUAUCACAUGUUCUCUUAGGUUUUGAGUGGAUGUGAUUUUGGGUUUUACUUAUUUGUUAUCUCUCUACUUUGGUCUUUAGAUUUCAGUGGAUAUGCUUAUAUUCAGAAUUCAGUUGUAUAGAAAGAUAAUAUGAUGUUGCUUACCAACUUUUAUUGAUGACAGAAACUAGGAGAGCUUAUUUAUUUAUUUGUUUAUUCAUUUAAUUUUUGUUCCUUUGCUCAUUUUGUUUUCAUUCAUUUAAGUUUAAAUUUCGAGGGAGCUAAUGAAGGUUUCCCAAAUAUACUCCAUUUUGGUCAAAUUUGGAUCUCUUUUGGUUUAAAUCUAGUUAGGCCACUUUCAGCAUCUCAUUACUGAUUCAGCACACAACUGGAACUAACUUUUACUAGGCAGUAUUGUAUACCCUUAUCAUAAGUGUUCAAAAAUUCUCUGGGUUUAUUCAUUUAUUUUUAGCUCAACUUUUUCUUUAAUAAACCGAAUAUUCUGGUCCUGGUUGUUAUUAUUUUGACUAACGUUAAUUGAAGAAAAUAGAUGAGGCACAUGAUUUAGCUGAUUCAUUCAUCAGCAUGUAUGACUCAAAAAUUACUUUAUCACAGCUGGAGAAUGUGCAUUGCCAUGUAAAACGGUACUUUGUGAGAUUCCACAGUCUUUUGGGACCAGCCAACCGGAGGACAUUAUGGUAAAAGGGGAGGAAAGGUGAGGGGAGAGGAUUAUGUGUGAUAAUAAACUAUUGAUAUGUUUCUUUUCAUGGAGUUUUGCUUUGAUGCAUUACUUUAGUGUUUGUGAAAUUCAGGGCAUGGAUUGGAUCUAUGUGUAGUUUGAACUAGCCCUGCUUGAGCAUUUCCUUUAGAUGGUAAAUGACUGGUUUUGUUUAUCAGUUUAUAAGAGUUUAUCAAUUAAAAAUAUUAUCAGUUGGCAUCACUUUUGGCGGUCCGGCAAUACUCCGCUAUAAGGAUCAAUUUAAAGAAGCUGUCUUCUUGGCUUUUGACUCAACAUCCUAGAAGGUUAAUGGGGCUGCUGAUCAUCUUCUACGAUCCCUUCUUGGAAGUCAAGUUCAUUAUUAUCCAAUAGAUCAGUACAGGAUCUGAAGUCAUUCUCUUCAUUUAUCAUGGCUAUUCUCUUAAGUUCUCAUCAUGAAUCCUUGAAAGCUCAGAAAGCAAUUAAUGGGCUUUUUGUAAAGUACAACAUCCAAUUUUCUGGAGUAUUUAAAAGCUUUUUUAGGAUAUCAGACAAAGACAACCAUACUUGUGGACUGGGAUUUUCAGAUUUGGUUUCUCAGAUUGGCUCUAUGAGUUUUGAUUCCACUGGCUUGCAUUGGCGGUAAAUGGCAACUCAUUUGGCCUUCUUUCUUUUCAUAUUUGACUAGAAUCCUGAGUGAAACAGCUGGUCACUUUUUGAAGAAUUUGAAAAGUCAACUUCCUCAGACAAGGAUACUUGCAAUUUCGGCUUUGAAUACACUCUUAAAGAAAUCACCGUACAAACUGUCACCUGGUGAGAAAUCUGCUGUACUCGAGGAUUUGCAAGGCAAUGCCAAGUCAUCCCUUGAAGAAGCUUUAACUCACACCUUUAAUGGCUAAUAUGGCUAGAACAAUUUUGAGAGAUUCUGACAAACACCAAAAAAAAGUGUGUUGCAUAUUAGUGGAUUUUCUUUUUCUUUUUUUCCAACCUUGUUUUUGUUUUAGUCUAUUCUUUACAGUUCAUUUUUUGUGCUUGACCCUGGUGCCAUUUAAUUCUCUGGGGCCAGUCCCUUGUACUUUUAGGUAACAAAUAAUGAAAAAAAAAUUCCUUCUUUGUAUGCUAUCAUUUGUUAAAGUUACUAUAAAUUCUUCUGUUUCGGUACUCAUUUUCUGUUUGAAUCUAAUAAAACACUAGAAAUUUUAGUACAACAUAUUAACUAACUACUGAACUUCAUUCAAAAUUGAUUUUGACAAGUUCUUUUGUCUCUAGAAACAAGCCAAAGAUGAUACUAUGUGGGAUCGAUAACAUCAGAGAUCUCUUUGGUCCCAAGGUAUUGUUAAGUUAUACCAAAUAUAUGGUCCCGUGCAACAACUUUUUUCUUGAUAAGUUUUACAAGUGAUAUUGUCACAAAACCAUAUAUGCUUCAUGUUUGAUGCAGGUG
Long non-coding RNA from Arachis duranensis, 3534 nucleotides. RefSeq lists it as uncharacterized. NCBI's taxonomy places the organism in Eukaryota, Viridiplantae, Streptophyta, Magnoliopsida, Fabales, Fabaceae. The record is from RefSeq and is a predicted model, not a curated record. The transcript has 8 exons.